RNAcentral lists this unclassified non-coding RNA (293 nucleotides) under uncultured fungus. RNAcentral describes it as "sequence contains ITS1". The record is from RNAcentral. Lineage: Eukaryota; Fungi.
CGGACUACGGGGGUUUCUAAUCCGGUUUGCUCCCCCAGCUUUCAUCCCUCACCGUCGAGCGCGUUCUGGCAAGCCGCCUUCGCCACUGGUGGUCUUCAAUGGAUCAACGGAUUUUACCCCUACCCAUCGAGUACCGCUUGCCUCUCCCGCCUCCUAGCUCUAUAGUAUCUUCCGCAGCCCAUCUGUUAAGCAGGUGGAUUUAACGGAAGACUUGUAGAACCGGCUACGGAUGCUUUAGGCCCAAUAAACGUCCCGACCACUCGGGGUGCUGGUAUUACCGCGGCUGCUGACAC